UACGUAGGGUGCAAGCGUUGUCCGGAAUUAUUGGGCGUAAAGAGCUCGUAGGCGGUUUGUCGCGUCGAAUGUGAAAACCCGAGGCUCAACCCCGGGCCUGCAUUCGAUACGGGCAGACUAGAGUUCGGUAGGGGAGUCUGGAAUUCCUGGUGUAGCGGUGAAAUGCGCAGAUAUCAGGAGGAACACCGGUGGCGAAGGCGGGACUCUGGGCCGAUACUGACGCUGAGGAGCGAAAGCGUGGGGAGCAAACAGG
This 253-nucleotide ribosomal RNA is filed under the name uncultured bacterium. RNAcentral's name for it is "partial 16S ribosomal RNA". It matches the Rfam family "Bacterial small subunit ribosomal RNA", at positions 524 to 776 of the family's 1533-position model. The record is from RNAcentral.